This 746-nucleotide unclassified non-coding RNA is filed under the name Hevea brasiliensis (rubber tree). Lineage: Eukaryota; Viridiplantae; Streptophyta; Magnoliopsida; Malpighiales; Euphorbiaceae. The record is from RNAcentral.
AACAUCGAAGUCAAGUAAAAUAUUAAUUAAAAUCAAACUAAAACGAGAGAAAAAUUGAAUCGAAUUAAGCCAAAUGGAUCGGUUUGGAACCAUAUAUUUUAUUUAAUCCUAAAUUCUUAUCAUUUUCAACCAAAAUGAUUUCAUGUAUUUAUACUAGAAGAAAGUAAACACGGCAACAUUCUCAAUUUCCUAGCACCCUUCUCAUAUCAACAAUCAAUAUUCUUAACAAAAAUUGAACAACAAUCAACAUUCUCAACAAAAAUCGAAGAACUAAUCAAUUAAUCAAACAGAAAAUCAAUUUAUCAAGACACACUCUUGUUAAUUGAGAACAACAAGCUAAUAGCUACACCCAAAAGCCAAACAGAAAGUCAACAAAAAUUGAACAAACUCAUGGCUAAAUCCAAAAGCCAAAACUCAAAAUCCAUGAUCACUCAAGAAAGGAAGGCAUGGAGGAGGUAGUUGUGUCGAUGCGCGAGGGACUGUGAGUGGAUGAGUGCAUGCAUGGCGUCGUCGAGGAUCUUAAUAUGUGGGUCACUGCUCAAACAUUGAGCAUGAGGGUCAUUACUUAUCCAAAGAAGAAGGGAGGCAAGCUAUUAAGGAACAAAAUUGAAAUCAAGUACACUAGAGAGAGAACCGAAGGGAAGACGAUGGAAGGGUGAGGCAAGAAGAAGAAAAAGAAUAGGAAGGGAACUAAAGAAGUCGAUGGAAAUAUGAGAAAAGAACUGAAGAAGCUACUUUCUUUAAAG